This 245-nucleotide unclassified non-coding RNA is filed under the name Hevea brasiliensis (rubber tree). Lineage: Eukaryota; Viridiplantae; Streptophyta; Magnoliopsida; Malpighiales; Euphorbiaceae. The record is from RNAcentral.
AGCUUGAAACGAGUGAGGAUAUGAAUGGAAAUGCGCUUGCAUUGAAGAUUGAAGAAUUGGCGGUUGCGUACCCAGUUGAUAAUCUAGGAACAAGGGGUUUAUCGAAUCGGCAUUGGAAAAGCACGGAAGAAGCAUAUUGAGGGGUGAAUUGGGAAGAAAUGGAGUCCAAGGAAAUUGGGUCGUAUCCUUUAAGAAUGGAUACAGCCCUGUCGACAAAAAGGGUGGUGGAGGAAGGAGAUGGUGAG